Molecule: transfer RNA, 73 nt
Filed under: Abditibacteriota bacterium
Lineage: Bacteria; Pseudomonadati; Abditibacteriota
Description: tRNA-Val(tac)
Rfam family: tRNA
About the family: Transfer RNA (tRNA) molecules are approximately 80 nucleotides in length. Their secondary structure includes four short double-helical elements and three loops (D, anti-codon, and T loops). Further hydrogen bonds mediate the characteristic L-shaped molecular structure. tRNAs have two regions of fundamental functional importance: the anti-codon, which is responsible for specific mRNA codon recognition, and the 3' end, to which the tRNAs corresponding amino acid is attached (by aminoacyl-tRNA synthetases). tRNAs cope with the degeneracy of the genetic code in two manners: having more than one tRNA (with a specific anti-codon) for a particular amino acid; and 'wobble' base-pairing, i.e. permitting non-standard base-pairing at the 3rd anti-codon position.
Source: RNAcentral
GGGCGAGUAGCUUAGUGGCCAAAGCACCUGCCUUACAAGCAGGCUACCGGGGGUUCGAGUCCCUCCUUGCCCA